Molecule: ribosomal RNA, 253 nt
Filed under: uncultured bacterium
Lineage: Bacteria
Description: partial 16S ribosomal RNA
Rfam family: Bacterial small subunit ribosomal RNA
Source: RNAcentral
UACGUAGGGUGCAAGCGUUAAUCGGAAUUACUGGGCGUAAAGCGUGCGCAGGCGGUUGUGCAAGACAGAUGUGAAAUCCCCGGGCUUAACCUGGGAACUGCAUUUGUGACUGCGCGGCUAGAGUGUGUCAGAGGGGGGUAGAAUUCCACGUGUAGCAGUGAAAUGCGUAGAUAUGUGGAGGAAUACCGAUGGCGAAGGCAGCCCCCUGGGAUAACACUGACGCUCAUGCACGAAAGCGUGGGGAGCAAACAGG